CCGUGGCUCACUAGGCUAAUCCUCCACCUUGCAGUGCCGGCACACCGGGUUCUAGUCCCGGUCGGGGCGCCAGAUUCUGUCCCGGUUGCUCCUCUUCCAGGCCAGCUCUCUGCUGUGGCCAAGGAGUGCAGUGGAGGAUGGCCCAAGUUCUUGGGCCCUGCACCCCAUGGGAGACCAGGAUAAGUACCUGGCUCUUGCCAUCGGAUCAGCGCGGUGCACCAGCUGCAGCGUGCUGGCCGCAGUGGCCAUUGGAGGGUGAACCAAUGGCAAAGGAAGACCUUUCUCUCUCUCUCUCUCUCUCUCUCUCUCACUAUCCACUCUGCCUGUCAAAAAAAAAAAGGAAUAAGAGUUUAUGACCCUUAAAUCUAAGUACUCACCAUAGCCUUCACAAAUUUGGAUUGCAAAUUCUAAAUUAGUUACAGAAUUCUGUCUUAGGCUUGCUGCUCCUCCCAAUACCCAAAACUAUUAACAUCUCCUGACUUCUGUUGAUUCUUUUCCUCUUCUCUCUGCUCCAGCACAAUAUGGCUUCUUAAAUGUCCUAACACCAAUCUCUACAGGCAUAGGGAAGGUAGCUAGAAGAAAUGCACUUGUUUAUCCCAAUUCAUUUAACCUAAGCUUCAAUGGACAGAGCUGGGCCUGUCUGAAGCUAGGAGCCAGCAGCUUCUUCUGGGCACAGGAGACCAAAUGUCUCCCAGACUUGUUUCCAUUACAGAAAAGAUUCCUUUCAUGCUUCAUUUUAUGUUUGCAGGUGAGAAUGCAGCUUUUGCUUUACAAAUACAUCGCUCCUGGUAAGGGCCAAUAAAGGGAGGAAUGGAUAAA
Non-coding RNA from Oryctolagus cuniculus (rabbit), 819 nucleotides. Lineage: Eukaryota; Metazoa; Chordata; Mammalia; Lagomorpha; Leporidae. The record is from RefSeq and is a predicted model, not a curated record.